UACGGAGGGUGCAAGCGUUGUCCGGAUUUAUUGGGUUUAAAGGGUGCGUAGGCGGCUAAUUAAGUCAGCGGUGAAAUUCCACAGCUCAACUGUGGAACUGCCAUUGAUACUGGUUGGCUUGAGUACAGAUGAGGUAGGCGGAAUUGACAGUGUAGCGGUGAAAUGCUUAGAUAUGUGGAGGAACACCGAUGGCGAAGGCAGCCCCCUGGGUUAACACUGACGCUCAUGCACGAAAGCGUGGGGAGCAAACAGG
RNAcentral lists this ribosomal RNA (253 nucleotides) under uncultured bacterium. Its description in RNAcentral is "partial 16S ribosomal RNA". It matches the Rfam family "Bacterial small subunit ribosomal RNA", at positions 524 to 776 of the family's 1533-position model. The record is from RNAcentral.